This 546-nucleotide unclassified non-coding RNA is filed under the name Hevea brasiliensis (rubber tree). Lineage: Eukaryota; Viridiplantae; Streptophyta; Magnoliopsida; Malpighiales; Euphorbiaceae. The record is from RNAcentral.
AACAUAAUACACAAGGAGGUAAAAUUUCAAACCUUAGGGGUGCUCUGAGGAUGUGCUUCGAUUUCCUCCACUGGCUCCCAUGGCUGGUAGCGCGUCCAGUCUCUCUGUCCAGGAUUAAGGGUGUGACCCUUGGAAUGGUAUAUGUAUGCAUCUCCCUCUCCAGAGAAGUUCUGCUUGUGCUCGAGCCCGUACCUCUUUGGCCUCAGCAUCAGAAGUUCGUCGCCGGUGUGGUCAGUAAUGAAGUGCAACCAACCAUGCCACUCUGGCGGUACCUGAGAUGCAUUAUAUCUACCCUUAUCGGCAUACUCCACCCAUCUGUGCCUUCCAUACUGAGUAUCUUUUAGUUUUUCAUAGUACUUGUUACCAUAUUUAUCAACUCCGACAACAGUUGCACCUACAUUAUGGAGUUUGGUUUGCAGAAGAUUCCCAUCGAAAAAGCAUUUCGUGUAGCCUUCAUCUUUGAGCUCCUUGAUGAAGCCGCCGACACCCUUCUCCUUGAUCGCCUUCAACGCGGCCCUCGCCACCGUCAACAUUUCUGGAAGCCUC